RNAcentral lists this ribosomal RNA (93 nucleotides) under Escherichia coli. Lineage: Bacteria; Pseudomonadati; Pseudomonadota; Gammaproteobacteria; Enterobacterales; Enterobacteriaceae. The record is from RNAcentral.
CCUGGCGGCCUUAGCGCGGUGGUCCCACCUGACCCCAUGCCGAACUCAGAAGUGAAACGCCGUAGCGCCGAUGGUAGUGUGGGGUCUCUCCAU